This 468-nucleotide ribosomal RNA is filed under the name Aeromonas sp. AE23. RNAcentral's name for it is "bacterial SSU rRNA". It matches the Rfam family "Bacterial small subunit ribosomal RNA", at positions 30 to 484 of the family's 1533-position model. Lineage: Bacteria; Pseudomonadati; Pseudomonadota; Gammaproteobacteria; Aeromonadales; Aeromonadaceae. The record is from RNAcentral.
AUUGAACGCUGGCGGCAGGCCUAACACAUGCAAGUCGAGCGGCAGCGGGAAAGUAGCUUGCUACUUUUGCCGGCGAGCGGCGGACGGGUGAGUAAUGCCUGGGGAUCUGCCCAGUCGAGGGGGAUAACUACUGGAAACGGUAGCUAAUACCGCAUACGCCCUACGGGGGAAAGCAGGGGACCUUCGGGCCUUGCGCGAUUGGAUGAACCCAGGUGGGAUUAGCUAGUUGGUGAGGUAAUGGCUCACCAAGGCGACGAUCCCUAGCUGGUCUGAGAGGAUGAUCAGCCACACUGGAACUGAGACACGGUCCAGACUCCUACGGGAGGCAGCAGUGGGGAAUAUUGCACAAUGGGGGAAACCCUGAUGCAGCCAUGCCGCGUGUGUGAAGAAGGCCUUCGGGUUGUAAAGCACUUUCAGCGAGGAGGAAAGGUGGUUGGCUAAUACCCAAUCGCUGUGACGUACUCGCAG